CUUGCUUUCUUUUGCUGGCGACCGGCGCACGGGUGAGUAACACGUAUCCAACCUGCCCUUUACCCGGGGAUAGCCUUUCGAAAGAAAGAUUAAUACCCGAUAGUAUAAUGAUUCCGCAUGGUUUCAUUAUUAAAGGAUUCCGGUAAAGGAUGGGGAUGCGUUCCAUUAGGUUGUUGGUGAGGUAACGGCUCACCAAGCCUUCGAUGGAUAGGGGUUCUGAGAGGAAGGUCCCCCACAUUGGAACUGAGACACGGUCCAA
Molecule: ribosomal RNA, 259 nt
Filed under: uncultured bacterium
Lineage: Bacteria
Description: partial 16S ribosomal RNA
Rfam family: Bacterial small subunit ribosomal RNA
Source: RNAcentral